Magnolia sinica is the source of this 1716-nucleotide RNA transcript. It is a transcript of the gene named receptor-like cytosolic serine/threonine-protein kinase RBK2, with no coding region annotated. The transcript is spliced from 3 exons. NCBI's taxonomy places the organism in Eukaryota, Viridiplantae, Streptophyta, Magnoliopsida, Magnoliales, Magnoliaceae. The record is from RefSeq and is a predicted model, not a curated record.
UAAAUUCUUCACUCUUCACUUUCUCAGAUACUUUCCCUUUUCUUUUAUUUUCUUUAAGGUUAACUGCAUUAGUAAAACAAGGGGAUUAGAGGAUCUUAGAUGCAUUAUAUUUACUAAAAAUGGACUGUGUGAUGAUGUAAUCAGGUAUUUUCUUGCCAUGCGGUGUUACUGUUUUUAUGGAAAAUUCCAAAGCAUCUAUUCCUUGAAGGAUGAUGACAAAUUGCUCUCUAAGUCUUGGACUCGUUUCCAAAAAUGGACUGUGUGAUGAUGUAAUCAGGUUUGUUUUAUGGUUGUUUGUAUGUUAGUAGAUCAGGUUGAAUGUUGGAAUUCGUGUUCAGCCUACAAGAUCAGGUUUAAGAAUGCAUGUAUAUGCCCAAUCUGUAAAAGGGUCAGUGGAGCGUGGCACAUUUAUAGUUAAAUGAGUCAGAUACCUUGCACCUGAGUAUGCAGAGAAUGGCAUAGUUUCUGUAAGGACAGAUGUUUAUUCAUUUGGAAUUUUUCUGUUGCAACUGAUAUCAGGACGCAAUGUGAUCAAUGAAAAUCAAGAAGAGCAAAGCCAGUCUCUACUUCAAUGGGCAGAAGUGCUGAUCGAAAAGCUUUCAUUACAUGAACUGAUUAAUCCUUGUAUUGGAGAAUCCUACGACACAUACGAACUGUACCAUAUGGCUAGGACAAUGUACUUGUGUGUUAGGAGAAGGCUAGAAAUGCGCCCAUCCAUGAGAGAUGUAACUGAUUGAGACGUGGUACUUUGUUUUUUUUAUUUUUUGUGAUUUUUAGUUGCAAAAUGUCAAAUGUUAGUUUCUUGUUUGUAAACAAUGGUUUUCAUCUAAUCUAACAAUGAGGUGUAGCAGAAGACAUUCAUGUAAAGCCUUAUUAAUCUUUUAUAUUAAGCUAUAUUGGGAAGUGAGUUAAUGAAUUCAUGAAUCCAUACAUGUAGCAACUCAUGUUCAUGAAUUGAGAGUCUGUUGAAAAUCAAAUCAAUAAUUGAGCAUCCUGUUUUGUGCUUGAAGUUUGUCUCUGUCUGUAUAUUUGCAUUAGCAACAUCACUUGUAAUUUGUAAAUGGUCAUGGAAAACCAACAUCUGUCGAAAAAUUCGUUGACGGCUGGAUGGUAACAGUACCAUCGGUCUACACAAGUGACCCUGGCUAUGUUGAAAAAUUCGUUGUUCUUUUUUUUUUCUUUUUUUUUUUUUAACUGAAGAGUUUGAAGCUGAUUUCUAUCAUUUUGCAUAGUUACAUCAUAGCAAUUAGUUUUGCUGUUUUUUGGUCUGUGUUUCUAUUGUUAUCUCCUUCUUGACAUGCGGGAUAGUGGAAAACCACUUAGAAUCUCUUGAUUUGCGUGUGUUCUUUGAGUAGGUUGUGCAAGUGCGCAUUGCUUUUCUCACGCUUUUAAUGUCAAUUGCAGCCUCAUCUAAUUUUCUGAGUUGAGAUUGGAAAUAGGGAGCUAAAGUGAUCAUUAAAUGCUUCACAGCACAUUUCAAUUUAGUUCUGAUUUUAUGUUAAUUUUAGAAAGUUGAGAUAUUGUUGAGUGACUACAGAUUUUAUACUUUUGAGCAAAAAAUUUCAGACUAUAGAGACUUCUAUUCUUGUUUUCUUUUUUUCUGUUUUGGUCAAGUGUUCAUUCUUUUAGAGCUUAUCUUGGAAAGAACCACUAGUUUUGAUGUUGUUUUGGUUUUGGAAAUGGGAUGUAUGGCUUUUAUAGCUUCAAAAAGUUGGG